GACCCAUGUUGAGGACAUUUGCGCAGGAGCUCCUUGAACCUAUCCCGUGUCUCAAAUAGAGAAUUUAAUUCCAUUUACACAAAAGAGGAUAUUUCAUUCCUUAGCUU
Dioscorea cayenensis subsp. rotundata (Guinea yam) is the source of this 107-nucleotide small nucleolar RNA. Lineage: Eukaryota; Viridiplantae; Streptophyta; Magnoliopsida; Dioscoreales; Dioscoreaceae. The record is from RefSeq and is a predicted model, not a curated record.